Ceratina calcarata is the source of this 1315-nucleotide long non-coding RNA. RefSeq lists it as uncharacterized. The transcript is spliced from 3 exons. Lineage: Eukaryota; Metazoa; Arthropoda; Insecta; Hymenoptera; Apidae. The record is from RefSeq and is a predicted model, not a curated record.
GAAAGGGACGAGAAAGAGCCAAGACCUGGCAUUCGUUGAAGAAACUGUGCUAAUUAUAAGCGCAAGCUUUUGCACAGUUUAACGCUCGUUAUUCAUCAUUUUCGAAUUAUUCGGUAAUAAUAUUAUUACAUUAUAACCGUUUACAUUAUUACUAUACAUAUUAAUAUUGCAUGAACGUCAAGGACAAGUGGGAAUUUUUAAAGCGAGAUGCACUUGGGCAACUAGUAACAAAGGAAUAUUUGACGUAGCGAGCUAGAAAGAUAAUUAAAGGCUUUCGGUUCAUUGGCACUUUUGACAAUCACAAAGGGAUUCGGUCGGCCGGUGACUUGGCCACGAACCUGACACCAUUUCAUCCCCCUCGCGGUAGCAUGGUGUUGUUGAGGAGGCAAUUCUCAAAACCUGCGCCGAACCGAGAUUAUCUUAUCGGCGGAGACCGAGUAGACUUUAACGGAGGGUAGCAUAAAUCAGAACCACGACCUAGGCGCGUAGGAUACGUCAACUGAAUCUCGCGUUCGAGAUGAAGGAUGUAAAAAAUAAAGACGACAAGGGAUCCUAAAAUAAUAUCGUAAACCACGAACGACGGGCACGCCUUGUCUACGCACGUCCGCACGCUUACGCGUGCUCGUACAUAUAUUAUGAACACGUUAUAGAACAUGGAAGUCUAUUUCGAACCGAAAGACAUUCUGUAUCCAGCCGCUCUCUCGCAACAGCCGUUUGAUACAGCCACGAUAUACAGGGUGGAGCGAGAAGUCUAAUGAUACCGAAAAACGUUUCGCAAGAGGAAGUGACCAAAGUUACAGUCUCACCCUGUGUAUAAGAAAACUACAUCCCCUUGCCAGUGGCUGUCAGACGUCGGUGAGAUUUGCAGAAAGGAAAAACGAAUCACCCUUCGUUGUACGUUUAAAAUUUACUUUCUAUUGUGUAGAUUCUCGAGAUGGAAACUUCUUUUAUACCGCAUAUUUUUAUUCCUAUUGGAAAAGUAAAUCUCCCUGUGCCAAUUCAAGAAUGUUUCGUUUGUAAAGUUUAUUCCCUAUUGUGCGUUACACGGUUCCAUUUGCAUCAACAGAGGGUAGAAUAUUCUGUAUCCAUAUUUACACAACAAAACGCGUCGUUCUCACAUUUUGUUGUAUAAUUAAAUAUUUUACAUGCACAUUACGUUUUGCUGUCUGACCACAGACCGGCUUGUGCAAGUUGAGUACCACUGUAAAUCGGCGUGCACAUCUGGCCGUGGCCGCCCUGGAAACAUGGGAGUUGAGAGUAAAGUAUAAACUAUGGGGUGCCACCCCAUCUCGUACCGGGCACCUCCUCCUACUCU